GAUGAACGCUGGCGGCGUGCCUAAUACAUGCAAGUCGAGCGAACAGACGAGGAGCUUGCUCCUCUGAUGUUAGCGGCGGACGGGUGAGUAACACGUGGAUAACCUACCUAUAAGACUGGGAUAACUUCGGGAAACCGGAGCUAAUACCGGAUAAUAUAUUGAACCGCAUGGUUCAAUAGUGAAAGACGGUUUUGCUGUCACUUAUAGAUGGAUCCGCGCCGCAUUAGCUAGUUGGUAAGGUAACGGCUUACCAAGGCGACGAUGCGUAGCCGACCUGAGAGGGUGAUCGGCCACACUGGAACUGAGACACGGUCCAGACUCCUACGGGAGGCAGUAGUAGGGAAUCUUCCGCAAUGGGCGAAAGCCUGACGGAGCAACGCCGCGUGAGUGAUGAAGGUCUUCGGAUCGUAAAACUCUGUUAUUAGGGAAGAACAAAUGUGUAAGUAACUAUGCACGUCUUGACGGUACCUAAUCAGAAAGCCACGGCUAACUACGUG
This 497-nucleotide ribosomal RNA is filed under the name uncultured bacterium. Its description in RNAcentral is "partial 16S ribosomal RNA". It matches the Rfam family "Bacterial small subunit ribosomal RNA", at positions 28 to 507 of the family's 1533-position model. The record is from RNAcentral.